GAUGAACGCUGGCGGCGUGCCUAAUACAUGCAAGUCGAGCGAACAGACGAGGAGCUUGCUCCUUUGACGUUAGCGGCGGACGGGUGAGUAACACGUAGGUAACCUACCUAUAAGACUGGGAUAACUUCGGGAAACCGUAGCUAAUACCGGAUAAUAUUUCGAACCGCAUGGUUCGAUAGUGAAAGAUGGCUUUGCUAUCACUUAUAGAUGGACCCGCGCCGUAUUAGCUAGUUGGUAAGGUAACGGCUUACCAAGGCAACGAUUCGUAGCCGACCUGAGAGGGUUAUUCGCCCCACUUGAACUGAGACACCGGCCCGACCCCCUCCGGAGGCAGCAGUAGGGAAACUUCCGCAAUGGGCGAAAGCCUUACGGAGCAACGCCGGCGGAGGUAUGAAGGUCUUCGGAUCCUUAAACCCUUUUAUUAGGGAAGAACAAACGUGUAAGUAACUGUGCCCAUCUUGACGGUACCUAAUCAGAAAGCCACGGCUAACUACCGG
This 497-nucleotide ribosomal RNA is filed under the name uncultured bacterium. RNAcentral's name for it is "partial 16S ribosomal RNA". It matches the Rfam family "Bacterial small subunit ribosomal RNA", at positions 28 to 507 of the family's 1533-position model. The record is from RNAcentral.